RNAcentral lists this ribosomal RNA (103 nucleotides) under uncultured bacterium. RNAcentral's name for it is "partial 16S ribosomal RNA". It matches the Rfam family "Bacterial small subunit ribosomal RNA", at positions 1380 to 1482 of the family's 1533-position model. The record is from RNAcentral.
CUUGUACACACCGCCCGUCACACCAUGGGAGCGGGUUCUGCCAUAAGUAGUUAGCCUAACCGCAAGGAGGGCGAUUACCACGGCAGGGUUCGUGACUGGGGUG